Molecule: ribosomal RNA, 501 nt
Filed under: uncultured bacterium
Lineage: Bacteria
Description: partial 16S ribosomal RNA
Rfam family: Bacterial small subunit ribosomal RNA
Source: RNAcentral
AUUGAACGCUGGCGGCAGGCUUAACACAUGCAAGUCGAGCGGAGAGAGGUAGCUUGCUACUGAUCUUAGCGGCGGACGGGUGAGUAAUGCUUAGGAAUCUGCCUAUUAGUGGGGGACAACAUUUCGAAAGGAAUGCUAAUACCGCAUACGUCCUACGGGAGAAAGCAGGGGAUCUUCGGACCUUGCGCUAAUAGAUGAGCCUAAGUCGGAUUAGCUAGUUGGUGGGGUAAAGGCCUACCAAGGCGACGAUCUGUAGCGGGUCUGAGAGGAGGAGCCGCCACACUGGGACUGAGACACGGCCCAGACUCCUACGGGAGGCAGCAGUGGGGAAUAGUGGACAAUGGGCUGAAGCCGGAUCCAGCCAUGCCGCGUGUGUGAAGAAGGCCUUAUGGUUGUAAAGCACUUUAAGCGAGGAGGAGGCUACUUUAGUUAAUACCUAGAGAUAGUGGACGUUACUCGCAGAAUAAGCACCGGCUAACUCUGUGCCAGCCGCCGCAGUAA